RNAcentral lists this ribosomal RNA (465 nucleotides) under uncultured bacterium. RNAcentral describes it as "partial 16S ribosomal RNA". It matches the Rfam family "Bacterial small subunit ribosomal RNA", at positions 338 to 795 of the family's 1533-position model. The record is from RNAcentral.
CCUACUGGAGGCAGCAGUGGGGAAUAUUGCGCAAUGGGCGAAAGCCUGACGCAGCGACGCCGCGUGAGGGAUGAAGGUCUUCGGAUCGUAAAACUCUGUCAGCAGGGAAGAACGGUCACUGUGCUAAUCAGCAGUGAAUUGACGGUACCUGCAAAGGAAGCACCGGCUAACUCCGUGCCAGCAGCCGCGGUAAUACGGAGGGUGCGAGCGUUAAGCGGAAUUACUGGGCGUAAAGCGCUCGUAGGCGGUAUGUCAAGUCAAGGGUGAAAUCCCCGGGCUCAACGUGGGAAGUGCCUUUGAAACUGGCAAACUGGAGUGUGUGAGAGGAGAGUGGAAUUCCAGGUGUAGGAGUGAAAUGCGUAGAUAUCUGGAGGAACAUCAGUGGCGAAGGCGACUAUCUGGCACAUAACUGACGCUGAGGUGCGAAAGCGUGGGUAGCAAACAGGAUUAGAUACCCCAGUAGUC